Molecule: long non-coding RNA, 1749 nt
Filed under: Octopus sinensis (East Asian common octopus)
Lineage: Eukaryota; Metazoa; Mollusca; Cephalopoda; Octopoda; Octopodidae
Description: uncharacterized LOC118761671
Source: RNAcentral
UCUAUAUUCCCUCAAGAGUUAAUUGAAAUUAAAUAUAUCUUAUUCAACACAAUAGAUGUUUCUUAUAACUUGAAGUGAUCAUCUCUGAUCAAAAAGUCUUAUGGCACACAGGUAGUUAUCCACAUUACUUGGUAUGGGCCACAGAUUCUGUUGUUCCAGUUUGACCAUGUCUCUGCCUGACAGCUAGAGCCAUUUCAUACUGCACACUGACCUGCAGUGAUGUGUCAUAUGGCAUUUGCUGUUGGUAUGUUUCAUUUUCUGUCCAGGCCUACAAAUUUAGCCUCGGGACAGUUGUGAACGAAUAGACUGAAGAUCUAAGGCAUUACAGGCUUCACCAUUCCAUUUUUUUCUUUUUCUGAUUCUAAAAUAUCUGUUGUAAUCUUUCUUUUAGCCCUUUAGCAUUAACAAAUUACUCAGUAAAAUGUAAUGCUUGUUUAAUCACAUUUUUUGAAUUAAUCAUGCAUUCUUGUAUCUUCAAGAUUUUAAUGAUGUAAUUGUCUAGUUUUAGUAUGGCAUUAUAGGGUAGGUUUGAGAGUCUGCAUCUAGCCACUCUAGAGCAGAUAUGGCCUAUUUAAAAACUAGAGUUAAAAUGGUUUAGUAGAGUGACACUUAGGGGAGAUCUAAAUAUCUAACCAUUUUUUUUUCUCUUCCCCUAUCCACAAAAGAAUUUUACUUAGUUUUAUCUAUCAUUUUAGAUUUUCCUAAGCAAUUUCUGUUGCAUUGUUAUUUUAUUAACUUGCUUAGUAAAACAUGAUUUAAUUAUUUUCGCCAGCUUUUUCCAAGUUUUCGCAGCAUUAGGUCAUGCUUUUAGAGAAGCAAAAAUCAAUAUGCAGGAUCUGAGCAUUUAGUAGAUUAUUAUUUAUAGAGUAAGAAAAUGCUUGUCUAUAUAUAAUCUUGAUUGGUAAGCCUUGCCUCUUUCUGCUGGUGGCUGGAUGUGUGAAGCUCGUACACUUUUGCACCAGAAGGGAUGUCAUAGUUUGUCUUACAGUUGUACAGUGUAAAUAACAACACUUUGCUUGUAUCUUCUCCCACUGUCAUAAUUGUAGGCUGUGAUUUCAAUAUAAUAUGUAAAUAUAUUACAUGUAUGCAUAUGCUAGCCUUUAAGUUUUUAAUGCUAAAGAUGAAGAUUCCAGAAAAUGAAGGUUUUUUUUAUUUUUUAUUCUGAAUCAAAAAUUGUUUCUAUGAAAAAUAUUUCAAGUAACAUUAAAUCAUUAAAUUUUAUUAUAAACAUUCUUACCUAAUUAUCCAGAAGUACAUAUGCAUAUAUAUAUUAUAUAUAUAUAUAUAUGUCUGUGUGUGACUUAUACAGGGUGGCUCACAAAAAGCUUUACCAUUGUGUACAUAUUGUAUAAAUAGACCCAUUUAUAAUCCACCCGGUAUGUAGUCAGUGUUAUGUAUAACAGUGACCUCCCUUGUGGUACGGAAGUGUACGAACGCCAGAUGUGUUUCACAAAGUCUCUUUCCGGGCUGAUGCACAUUGGUAGUUGCUGUUAUAGAAAUUGUAUGAAUGUCCAUAUUCAGUAUUUUUUUUCUUUUUGUCCUAUCAAUAAAUUAAAAUCAUUUUUACUAAAAUGCUUUUGGUCUCUUUCUUUUUGUCUAUUUUUUAAUAAUUAUUUUUAUCUCAAAUAAACUUUAUUAAUAACACUGUAACACUAUUUUUGUCCUUGGGUAGCAACUGUUAGUACCCUGUGUGCAUAAGUGAAAGUAGGGUUUUGUAAUUACUUGCCUUUGUCUGUGGACUUGGAAAAU